Molecule: small RNA, 35 nt
Filed under: Bombyx mori (domestic silkworm)
Lineage: Eukaryota; Metazoa; Arthropoda; Insecta; Lepidoptera; Bombycidae
Description: ovarian small RNA-17989
Source: RNAcentral
GUUGGCCUCAGAUCAGGGAGGAUCACCCGCCGAAU